Molecule: long non-coding RNA, 1088 nt
Filed under: Serinus canaria (Common canary)
Lineage: Eukaryota; Metazoa; Chordata; Aves; Passeriformes; Fringillidae
Description: lncRNA (ENSSCAG00000001783.1)
Source: RNAcentral
UGAAAACAUUGAUCCAAACAUACUGAGAUGCUGGCAGUUCAGGAAAAUCUUCAUUGAUAACUCCUUAAGAAAUUAACCUGCUGCCUUUCUCUGAUUGUGAUUUUGUGUACAAAAAGCUUAACCCUUAGGACAUUGACAUUUUACCAAAUGACCAAGCAAACAGUCAGAGCACAGCUGGAUUUCAGUCAGAAAGUCUCCUGGGCAAAGUCUCCUGGAGUUUUGAAGCAGUGUGUAUAAUAGCGAAUUCAUCAUCUUCUCCAGCAUUCUAAAUGCCAUUCUUGCAGCAAGGAAUGAGGACAGGUCAGCAUCAUGGGCACUACUAAAGAACCAUCGGAAUGCUGCAACAUGGGCUCACAGUCCACGUGUUCUGCCCCUUCAAAGGCAAAUAGGCUGAACUGCCUCCUCUGUGUCAUCACAACAAACAAAACACCUGGCAAAUAUGACAGCAGAAGUAAAAAGAUGCAGCGCAGUUCUAACAGGAGCAUCAUCCACGUCCAUACUGUGAAGGGUUGAACACAGUUUCUCCAAGCAGACUGCACAGAACAACCAAAGUCACUGGUUACACUGUUUUGUUUUGUUUUUUUUUUCCCCAAAGAUUUUCAGCUCUGCAAAUUUAAGAGACCUCCUGUCUUUCUAAAUAUAGAGACCUUCCUGUAAAAGCUUGUUGACAUGGAAAAAAUUGCUUAAAGUUUCCUUUAAAUUUGUUAAAUAUUCCAUUAAAGUGUACUGGUUUGCUAAUUGCUUGAGAGCUCCAUUUUUGAUUUUGGAAUUUAUCCUAUUAAGUAGCCCAGAAAAAGAAAAAGCAGUUUAAAAAUAAUGCCAAUUUCCAAAAGGCUCUGCUUUGAAGACUUUCCUAUUAAAACCAUUAGAAAGCAGAAAGGUUCUUGUCAUUGUCUAAAUGUAACCGUUACGAAAGUGACUUUAAGAGCAAUCUGUAUUGUAGUAAAGCAGGGAUUAGCAAAACCCACCUGAAGAACUUCCUCUGCAUUUCUCCCUGUGAACACACAGUUCUAAUUUUGUUUUGGUUUAAUUGUGCUGGUUUGCUUCAGGUUACUUUUUAUCUUUUCCAAAGCUUAUAUUUAAGGUGG